GACGGCCAAACGUUUUAUUAAUAGGUCACGUUUUGAAUCCGAGGCUAGCUUUGCGGUACUUGGGGCCGCGCGAGCGGGAACGACUAUAGCCCCAGGCGUUUCUUUGACUCGACGCGAUGGCAUAGCACGUUCAGUGAUCCAUUUCGCAUUGAUGUCACGUUGGAAAGUUCUUCUGCGCUUAUCAAAAUAAAUUCCAAGAUCGUGAAGAAACCGCA
Long non-coding RNA from Nematostella vectensis (starlet sea anemone), 215 nucleotides. RefSeq lists it as uncharacterized. The transcript is spliced from 3 exons. The record is from RefSeq and is a predicted model, not a curated record. Lineage: Eukaryota; Metazoa; Cnidaria; Anthozoa; Actiniaria; Edwardsiidae.